This 497-nucleotide ribosomal RNA is filed under the name uncultured bacterium. Its description in RNAcentral is "partial 16S ribosomal RNA". It matches the Rfam family "Bacterial small subunit ribosomal RNA", at positions 28 to 507 of the family's 1533-position model. The record is from RNAcentral.
GAUGAACGCUGGCGGCGUGCCUAAUACAUGCAAGUCGAGCGAACAGACGAGGAGCUUGCUCCUCUGACGUUAGCGGCGGACGGGUGAGUAACACGUGGAUAACCUACCUAUAAGACUGGGAUAACUUCGGGAAACCGGAGCUAAUACCGGAUAAUAUAUUGAACCGCAUGGUUCAAUAGUGAAAGACGGUUUUGCUUUCACUUAUAGAUGGAUCCGCGCCGCAUUAGCUAGUUGGUAAGGUAACGGCUUACCAAGGCAACGAUGCGUAGCCGACCUGAGAGGGUGAUCGGCCACACUGGAACUGAGACACGGUCCAGACUCCUACGGGAGGCAGCAGUAGGGAAUCUUCCGCAAUGGGCGAAAGCCUGACGGAGCAACGCCGCGUGAGUGAUGAAGGUAUUCGGAUCGUAAAACUCUGUUAUUAGGGAAGAACAAAUGUGUAAGUAACUAUGCACGUCUUGACGGUACCUAAUCAGAAAGCCACGGCUAACUACGUG